Long non-coding RNA from Crotalus tigris (Tiger rattlesnake), 1320 nucleotides. RefSeq lists it as uncharacterized. NCBI's taxonomy places the organism in Eukaryota, Metazoa, Chordata, Lepidosauria, Squamata, Viperidae. The record is from RefSeq and is a predicted model, not a curated record. The transcript has 2 exons.
AGAAUACUGUAUUUCACUGAAUGCCAGAACAUAAGGCAUUCAAAUAAAAGGAAAUGUGGGUUUAACAGUAUCUUGCUGCAUCUAAAUCAAGUAGUUUAUGGAUAAGCACCAAAAGAUGAAUUAAAGGAACUGUCAAUUUGCCAGUGACCACCAUCUUGCAGUCCCCUCUUGAGGAGCAACUGUCUGGAGCACUUCAUUCUGCCAUGGUGUUUGGUUGUGUUUGUCAUGGAGCUGAUUUGCGUCCACCAUUUCUUCAGAAGAACAAUUUUGUAGCAUAUUUUUUAUCAGAAAAUACUCUUAAUUUCCAUUAUAAUAGUUUGGAAUAAUCUUCAAGCAUUUGCUUUUAACUUUUUCCUAAUUCUUUUUUUUUUUAAAGUUUACUCAAGUCAAAGUCUAACCAUGUUAGACUUUUUUGGUAGAUGUCCAACUAUUUCCAUAUCAAAGAUUACUCUUCUUUUACUGCUGAAUUAUUCCUUAUUAUAAAAAAUUUCAAGGGAAUAUUAGUUUUCUUAAGCUAGAAUUCUCCAUCAUAAUUUCAAGAAUUUCACAAUAUUGUAAUUACAAAUAAUAGAUAAGAAGAUUGAAAAGAAUUGGAGAGAUAAGCCAAGCUUCCUAAUGCCUACCAUAUACAAGUGAGUACAAUUUGAAUUAUUCUAGGUUAAUAAUGUUUUCCAAAUAUUUUAAGAAAAUAAAAAUGAAAUGCUCAGGAAUAUAUUUUAUUUGAACAAUUACAAAGGAUGACAAAUAGCAACUUCUUCUUUAAAUUCAACACCUAGUGAUAUUGUUAUGCAAAAUGAGAAAGCGGAGAAACACAGACUAUUGGAAUUUUUAAAAAUUAAAAUAACAUUUUUUCCUUAAUGUAAAGCCAAAUAAUAUUAAUUCAAAGCCAUCAAAAACAUUCCAAGGUCUGUAUGAGCAUACAUUCUAGUAAUCAUGCCUCUCUACCUACCUGGCAAUUUAGAAUGGACAGCCACCAAAAAGCAACAUCUGAAAGAGCAAAACCCAUAUUCUAAUUGUUUGCCAUAAAGAUAUAUAUUCUGCAAUACAUUAAAUGCAAUCUUUUGGUAUGAUUUCUAAAAAUAAUGUAUUUUCAUAUGUAUCCUUUCACCCAGACCCACAUAUUUUGUUUUCAAAUGUUUAAGGAGUUCUGGAUCUAUUUACUAUUCUCUAGAAAACUCUUCAUCAGCAUUCACAAUUGUUAUAAAUCAUGUUGGGUAUAUCCAGUACACUUUUUCUAGUAUUAGGUAUAUUGAUUCAGCAUUCCUGCUGCUGCAAACUAGAAACAAACAGUAGCAGAUUCAUGCAAAUGCAAAAACUGAG